This 478-nucleotide ribosomal RNA is filed under the name uncultured bacterium. RNAcentral's name for it is "partial 16S ribosomal RNA". It matches the Rfam family "Bacterial small subunit ribosomal RNA", at positions 28 to 523 of the family's 1533-position model. The record is from RNAcentral.
GACGAACGCUGGCGGCGUGCCUAACACAUGCAAGUCGAACGGUAAGGCCCUUCGGGGUACACGAGUGGCGAACGGGUGAGUAACACGUGGGUGAUCUGCCCUGCACUUCGGGAUAAGCCUGGGAAACUGGGUCUAAUACCGGAUAGGACCACUGCCUGCAUGGGUGGUGGUGGAAAGCUUUUGCGGUGUGGGAUGGGCCCGCGGCCUAUCAGCUUGUUGGUGGGGUGAUGGCCUACCAAGGCGACGACGGGUAGCCGGCCUGGGAGGGUGACCGGCCACACUGGGACUGAGAUACGGCCCAGACUCCUACGGGAAGCAGCAGUGGGGAAUAUUGCACAAUGGGCGCAAGCCUGAUGCAGCGACGCCGCGUGAGGGAUGACGGCCUUCGGGUUGUAAACCUCUUUCAGCACCGACGAAGCGCAAGUGACGGUAGGUGCAGAAGAAGGACCGGCCAACUACGUGCCAGCCGCCGCGGUAA